Molecule: transfer RNA, 81 nt
Filed under: Kribbella sindirgiensis
Lineage: Bacteria; Bacillati; Actinomycetota; Actinomycetes; Propionibacteriales; Kribbellaceae
Description: tRNA-Arg
Rfam family: tRNA
About the family: Transfer RNA (tRNA) molecules are approximately 80 nucleotides in length. Their secondary structure includes four short double-helical elements and three loops (D, anti-codon, and T loops).
Source: RNAcentral
GGCCGUGUAGCUCAGUCGGUAGAGCACCUGCCUGCGAAUGCAGAGCGGGAGGUCGCGGGUUCGAUCCCCGCCCUGGCCCCA